This 107-nucleotide small nucleolar RNA is filed under the name Olea europaea subsp. europaea. Its description in RNAcentral is "Plant small nucleolar RNA R71". It matches the Rfam family "Plant small nucleolar RNA R71". Rfam says of the family: R71 is a member of the C/D box family of snoRNAs containing the C (UGAUGA) and D (CUGA) box motifs. Multiple nearly identical copies of this snoRNA have been identified in Arabidopsis, and it is thought to function as a 2'-O-ribose methylation guide for 18S ribosomal RNA. The record is from Rfam by way of RNAcentral. Lineage: Eukaryota; Viridiplantae; Streptophyta; Magnoliopsida; Lamiales; Oleaceae.
AUUCCAUGGUUUGGAUAUAUUCUCAUGGACUCAUUAAAUCUAUUCCAUACCGCAUGAUAGCUUUCUCCUUCUUUCUAUUGAAAAGUUUGAAUUUCCAUUCUGAUUUU